RNAcentral lists this transfer RNA (73 nucleotides) under Felis catus (domestic cat). It matches the Rfam family "tRNA". From Rfam's summary of the family: Transfer RNA (tRNA) molecules are approximately 80 nucleotides in length. Their secondary structure includes four short double-helical elements and three loops (D, anti-codon, and T loops). Lineage: Eukaryota; Metazoa; Chordata; Mammalia; Carnivora; Felidae. The record is from Rfam by way of RNAcentral.
ACCUGGCUGGCUCAGUUAGUAGGGCAUGAGAUUCUUGAUCUCAGGGUCAUGAGUUUAAGCCCCAUGUUGGGGG